Long non-coding RNA from Lycium barbarum (goji berry), 459 nucleotides. RefSeq lists it as uncharacterized. NCBI's taxonomy places the organism in Eukaryota, Viridiplantae, Streptophyta, Magnoliopsida, Solanales, Solanaceae. The transcript has 3 exons. The record is from RefSeq and is a predicted model, not a curated record.
CGUACUAGUAUAACAACUAUACACAGCAACGUAUUAGUACAACAAUUAUACAUCCAGUUCUUAUAACAUUAAGCACCAAUGCUACUCAGUUUUGUUGCGGGUUUUCCCUCAUUACUUGAUCUUGUUGUUCUGUUUUGCUGUGUUAUUAAAUCCGGGCUUUCUUCGAAGUGAAGUAAGGUGGAAGGAGAUUAUUUAUUGGCAUAUGAGGUUUAUCAUAUUAAUUGUGGAAGUUCUUGGAUGGACUGAGCUCUUGAACGACGUGAGGUACAGAUGCUCACGUUGGUAACCCGCCAGCUUAGGAGUCCUAUUCAGCUAUCUUGGAGAGCUCCCUUGUUCCGGAGCCUAGAUUUUGGUACAGAAUCUCUUGUGGUGUAUAUGUAUUUUAUCCAGGGGUACGGCGGGGCCUUGUCCCGUCAUAUGAUACUGUUGUUACUCUUAGAGGUCUGUAGACAUAUGUGU